This 1938-nucleotide long non-coding RNA is filed under the name Phasianus colchicus (ring-necked pheasant). RNAcentral's name for it is "lncRNA (ENSPCLG00000016507.1)". The record is from RNAcentral. Lineage: Eukaryota; Metazoa; Chordata; Aves; Galliformes; Phasianidae.
AUGAUGACUGAGGUCUGGCCAUGUGAGAGAGGGGAACCGUACUUGGCUUGGGAAGAGGCAGCUUACAGGGAGAUCUGGCUGCAGGCUGCUGUAACUACAGGCCAUCUAGAAGAUGGAGUCAGUGUUCCAGCCAAACAUGAGAGUAUUACAAUGGAGAACAGAAGAAAAACAGGAGGAGAGCAGAAGGAGAAACAGAAUUAUAGAAGAGUGAUGUAUAAAUCUGCCAUUUUGUUAAAGUCAAUUAGAGACAAACACUCUGGAAAUCUUGCUGUGAAGAAGAGCUGAAAAUACUCACCUAUGUGAGUUGACAGUAAAGUCAGUGUUGUUAAUUAUUCUCUACAUAAAAGAUGUAGAGCAAAUACAAUUUUUAAAGAAUUUGCUUUCUAUGUCAGUGUACUUAAUACAUUAGAGAUUUUUAAAGACUGAAGGUGAGCAUCUUCAGCCUGGGUAAGAGAAGUCUUCAGGACAUCAAGUAGCCUUCCAGCAUGUAAAAGAAAGUUAUAAAGAAGACAAAGCUAAGCAGUUCAGUAGUAUGUGAUAAGAGAAUGACAGUAGGCAUGAGCAGAAAAGAGAGGUUCUAACUGGAUUUAAGGAGAAACCUCUUCAACACGAGGACAGUAUGUCUGUGUAACUAACUGCCUGAAGAGGUUAUACUAUCUUUUGUACUGUUGUCUCUCAGAGGCAAGCACUGAUUUCUGCACUCUGGUGACAGGACAUGGGGGAACAACAUGGAGCUGCAUCUGUGGAGGGUCAGGUGGAGGUUAGGGAGAGGUUCUUCACUAAAGGGUGGUGGGACUCUGGAACAGGCUCCCCAAGGCAAUGGUCACAGACUCAAGCUGCCAGUGUUCAAGAAGUGCGUGGACAGUGCUCUCAGACAUAGGUUUGAAUUUUGAGUGGUUUGUGAUGAGCCAGGAGUUGGACUCCAUGUUUCUUCUGAGUUCUUUCCAACUUGGGAUAUUCUGUGAUUCUCUGUCCUUGGAAGCUCUUAAGGACAGAGAUAUUCUGCAGCUAUAUUAAUUGUAUCAUAUACAAUUACAUACCAAAUAGUACUCAUAUUGACAAACUGCUCCCUUCCUCACCUAGUUUCAUCGGUAGUUUAUUUUUAUUUUGUUUAUAAUAUUGAGUCAGUUCAUCUUUCACAUAUUUUGAAUAUUCUUCAAGGUGAAGAUAUUGUACAGUGUUAUUGGUCAUCUAGGAGGUAUAUAUUUUUCACCUUGUUUUGCCCAGCGCAAAUUACACUUGCUGACCUUUCAGAAAUUAUUUGUUUCGUUUCUGUUCUCUUUUAAAUAGCAUACUCAUUGUGUAAAUAUAUUUAAAUAUUUUGUGUUGUAUUGUAAUUGAGUCAUGGCCUGAACACUGAUCGAACACCUGGGGAAAGAACCUGGUCAGCUCUGGGAGCACAGGUGAAGGCAAUUCAGCUGUGUGACAGGAAGGGGUGGAGCCUGGCCACACUUCUCUUAGACCUCAUUUAAGGGCUGACUGCCACUGGAGAAGGAACUCUUCCUGGACAUCCAUCCUUGGUGAAGCUUUCCCCUGCAAUGCUGGAAUCUUCUGAUAUGUGUGAGCAAUCUUCCCUUUCAUUAUAGCAACCUCUCUACUGUGCCAGUUCUUUCAUCAUCACGCCUCUGUUGCAGUGAUUUUUGCAUUGUAUUGAUCUGUCCAAUUGCUACAGUUGUGUAAGUGUUUACAUUGUAAUUGUCAUCUUUGCUUGAGUGCAACGCGGCUUUAGACUGACAGCAUUUGGAUCACUUUUAAAGCCUUAGCUGUUGUAGAUGAUAGUACAUACAUCUUAUUCUAUUUUGAUGUGAGGUUUGCUGACUCUUAGUGUAGUUAAAGUGUACUAUUUGUUUUACAAAUGUGUGUAAAAUGUAAGCACCUUCUUUAAGUGCACCUAAAAUCCACAGGAUAGAAUUUCAAAUAAAUCUAUUAUAAGAAUCA